ACUCCUACGGGAGGCAGCAGUGGGGAAGUAUUGCACAAUGGGGGAAACCCUGAUGCAGCCAUGCCGCGUGUGUGAAGAAGGCCUUCGGGUUGUAAAGCACUUUCAGUAGGGAGGAAGGUAGUGUAGUUAACACCUGCAUUAUUUGACGUUACCUACAGAAGAAGCACCGGCUAACUCCGUGCCAGCAGCCGCGGUAAUACGGAGGGUGCGAGCGUUAAUCGGAAUUACUGGGCGUAAAGCGCAUGCAGGCGGCCUGUUAAGUCAGAUGUGAAAGCCCGGGGCUUAACCUCGGAAUUGCAUUUGAAACUGGCAGGCUAGAGUCUUGUAGAGGGGUUAGAAUUUCAGGUGUAGCGGUGAAAUGCGUAGAGAUCUGAAGGAAUACCAGUGGCGAAGGCGGCCCCUGGACAAAGACUGACGCUCAGAUGCGAAAGCGUGGGAGCAAACAGGAUUAGAUACCCCUGGUAGACUGUCA
This 472-nucleotide ribosomal RNA is filed under the name uncultured bacterium. RNAcentral describes it as "bacterial SSU rRNA". It matches the Rfam family "Bacterial small subunit ribosomal RNA", at positions 335 to 802 of the family's 1533-position model. The record is from RNAcentral.